Molecule: long non-coding RNA, 365 nt
Organism: Morone saxatilis (striped sea-bass)
Lineage: Eukaryota; Metazoa; Chordata; Actinopteri; Moronidae
Exons: 5
Source: RefSeq, a predicted model, not a curated record
AGAAAAUUGAAGAAAUCUUCCAGAAAGAUACAUUCAAGGGUCAUGGCUUCUUUCCCUACAUUACUGUGAUGGGUUCUAAAGCAAAACAUGACAUCAAACAACCACUCAUAGGCUUGUCUCUGCUGACUUUUUGUUUCAGCCUAGACACAAAGAUCUAUUUUUACUUGUGCCAUGUCUGUGAGGAAAAGUGUCGACCAGACAAUAUUGCACGCCACCUCUCUUCUAGUGACCACUGCAGCAACUACUUUAACUACAUGGACCCCAAUGUACUGAGUUUCUCCUGGCUCCCCAGCAUGAAUACGAGUGUCAUUCUCAGGCCUGAGCUCACAAAGGAAGUACACAAAAAAUGGCCUGGACACCUGCAG